Molecule: long non-coding RNA, 1267 nt
Organism: Tarenaya hassleriana
Lineage: Eukaryota; Viridiplantae; Streptophyta; Magnoliopsida; Brassicales; Cleomaceae
Exons: 3
Source: RefSeq, a predicted model, not a curated record
UGGAUUAAUUUCACAAUCUUGGUUUAAUAUUUCUGAAGAUUUUAUAUUAAAUGUAUCAUAUUUUGGAAUAUAUUUAAAAUGAACUUUUCUCCAAUUGUUUCAUUUCGGAAUAUAUUGGUUUUGAUAUAAUUCGUAUCCAUGAUCUUUGUAUCCUUGAUAUUCAUCAUGUGUUGUCAUAUGGAUUUUCGUAGGGAUUUUCAUCACUACUAUAGUCUAAGACAAUUUUUUCAGUUUCAUCAUGUUGUUCUUCUUCGGGUAUAUUAAGAGCAGCUAAUAAUGUUGAUAAUUUUUCUAUCUAAUCAUCUAAUCCUUCUAUUAUAUUUUUGGUGGUGAUCUAAUUCGAAGAUUAGUUUGCAUGAUCACAGCGGGUACAUCAACUAGUGCAAUGCUUAAACACUUGAGGAUAUGUAAAAAGGCUCCCCCUGAUGAUAGUGAGGAUCACAGAGCUAGUAAGAGAUUGAAGCAAACGACAUUGUUUCAUGAGCCAAAAAGUGACUCUUCAGUAGGAAUUCCAUCUUUUAUGACAUUUGAUCAGGAAAAAUCCCGAAGAGCCUUAGUGAUGAUGAUCACUAUAGAUGAGUUGUCAUUUAGGUUUGUUGAAAAGGAGGGAUUCAUCUUAUUUAUGAGGAUUGUCCAGCCCCAUUUUAUUAUCCCGUCAUGUGCUCUCGGUCGUGCUCUCCGUCAGGUCUUAGUUUUGUCGUCGAGUGACGAACACAGACCGGUAUCUCCAUCUCUGGCUUACUCUCUCUCACUCUCAGUUCGGUAUCUCCGCCGUGCUCUCGGUCUCUGAUUUACUCUGUCUCGAUUCGGUCCCUGCCUUGCACUCCUUGGUUUAGUCUCUUUGUCUCUGCCUUGCUCUCCAAUUCGAGGUGACGGUGAAGCUCCUUUCUCCUUGUUCCUGGGUGAAGAGACCGAACCAACGUCUCCUUGUUUCAGGUGACGGUGAAGCUCCUUGUUGUUUCAGCCGAAGAAGAUAGAGAGGAUUUAUGUCUUCUACGACAGACCAUUCAAAUUCAGAGGAAAACAUUGCGAUGUCCCGACCAAACACUUCAGGUUUCUAUGGCUCCUCAAGCAACUGAACCGGAGCCUUCGGGUGCUGACAUUAAGGUACCUAAAAUUAAAUUUGAUUGAUGAGCACAUCGGGCCCAACAACAUCUCGAAACGAAGAUCUUGACGAAAGCAUACAUCAGAUCGAAGCCACCAAGUAAAAGGAAGUUGCUUGGAGUGCAAGACAAUUACCCAAAGGAAGCUUCUUCAUCAUCAAGGC